Molecule: long non-coding RNA, 1125 nt
Organism: Homo sapiens (human)
Lineage: Eukaryota; Metazoa; Chordata; Mammalia; Primates; Hominidae
Gene: LRRC77P
Product: leucine rich repeat containing 77, pseudogene
Source: Ensembl
GUUGUUUAUGUAAGAAUUUCAAGGCCACAACUCCAUAUUUGAAGUAAAGUGCUCAUAAAAUUAAUUGCAAGACUUCUGAAGAGAGAUUUGCUAGGAAAAAUAAAAAGAUAUAUAAAUUUCAGUGAUGCUGAAGGUUUUGAGAAGCCAUCUGCAGCUCACAACUAGAUGAGUGACACAAUCAGAUGUGCGUAUGCAAUAGGUGUAGUCCUUCCUUAGCCUGCUUUUUAAUGAGUGCUGCUAAAGCCCUUAGCCUGCCUGUUUACCCUUGGAGUGGAGCAAUGAACUGAAGAUAUUUGAGUGAGUUCAAGAGAGACUCAGAAGAGAAGAAUUGGAGGCAGCAAACAUAGACAGCACUUUUAAUGCUUUUCUCAUAUGCUGUAAGACAUGAAAGCAAUCUAUUGGGAUGAAAGCUGAAAGGAGAAGCGGGACAAGAGAAGUGAAUCCGUGGAAGACCCCCAAAAGAGGCUGCAGAUUCUUAGUGGACAGCUCUCAUAUCCCCUCCAGGGAAAAUGAUGAAAAAUGUCUUCAGAAAAAUAGCUUUAUGAAGGCAAGAGGACUUUUUGCACCUGCAAGACAUGUCUGAAAGCUCCUCAGGUCAAAACACAAGUAGUCAAGAGAUUUGUCCAUCUAAUUCAUCAUACUACUCUGAUCCAAGUGAGACCCACACUGGGUCAGCUCCAUCAAGGAGAAGAACAUUCCACCCACGUUUGGAUUCUGGAAUAUCAUCCUUGCUUCCAUCAGAUUCUUGUAAGUACCUCACUUGGCACAAGGUAGACAUGACGUUCAAGGAAGUCAACUGCGUUGCCCAAGAGUAAGAGAAGGAAUCUCUGAAGAAGAGCAACUUUUCAGACAGGUAGAGUGUGCCUUGCUCCCAAGGAAAAGAGUUCUUGAAAAAAACAAAUGGGAAACAUGGCUACAAGAAAACUGGGAAGACUGCAAGAGUAUUCUCCUGUUUGCCAAACUUAAAAAUGCUGGAUGGAAUCUUGAAGCUACCAGAAGAUUGCUUAUCACCAGAAACCAAUAUUUUUUCAAAAAUAUGCCUUGUAUCCUAAUGCAGUCUGUAUAGAAAGAAAGCAAUCAUCAUUGUUGCUAAAAGCUAAUAAACACAGGACAUGCAUGAUUAAA